Molecule: long non-coding RNA, 4346 nt
Organism: Harpia harpyja (harpy eagle)
Lineage: Eukaryota; Metazoa; Chordata; Aves; Accipitriformes; Accipitridae
Exons: 3
Source: RefSeq, a predicted model, not a curated record
UGACAUAAGUGCAGUGUGAUCAUCAUCUGCGAAGUCAGUAAUUUGCAAGGAGGCCAAGACACGUUGGCUGUCUGUCUUGCCUCCAGCUGUUUGUGCUCUGUCAGCAAGAAGCUGCAUCUCGUCAGUAACGCAGGAAAAGAAAGGUUAGCCGCCUCUUCUGAGCGAGUCGCUGAUGUUUGUUUUAGGCGAGAUGAAACCACCACGUUUUUCUAUCCUCAAAUGAUGCUUUGCCUCCACUCUGAAUUUCACCAACACUGCUGCAAUGGCAACGUUUAAACUGACUAGAAAUGGAAGAGAUGAAAUAAAUACUGAGAAGACCUCCUAGGAGAAGCCUGCUUGUACUUGCAGUCACUGAGGGAAAGUGGGAGAGACUGAGUCUCUCUGGUGGGGCUGGUUACAAGGACUGCCAAGAAUACAGUCGUGUUGCAUCUCACCAGGAUCGUGAUCGCUGCUCAAGCAGGAAAAUCCAGUGCUAUCAGCUCUUCAGUUUGUAAACCGGUGUUUGUCUUUCCCUUUAAGCUCUGCUAAAGCGUGCUCCCACUGAAAGGCUGUUCAGCAUUGCUGAGGCUGUUGAAUUUUACGAUGGAUAAAUCAGCUUCUGCCAGGAAAUGCAGAAAGGCUGGAGUGUGUCUUUAUGAAAAAAAUUUUGCCACUUCUGGUUGAAGUGCUACUGCUUAAUAUCAGCAGUUCUUCACUGGAUUGCUCCAGUUGCCUUAAAUAUAACUGUUUGACUACCUAGGGCAAAAAUCACUUGUAUAUCCGUUCUUUUUCCUACUCUGCUGAUGUGGAUGGUUAAUGUAUGUAAAUUGAUGUGCCACACUAUGUAAAGGCUGUUGUGAUCAAGGUCAAACUAGGAAUUUUCUUCUUUACAGAAACCUUUCCAUGUGUUGUUAUUGCAUAGAAGCUUGUUACAGUUCAAGAGUGAAUUGCUAUUUUAACUUUGUGUUCACAAAUUUCCUAUUGACUCCAGCCAUCAGCUGUCACUUUUGGGAUAUAUUUCAGUGCAAUACACUGGACUUAAAAAUUCAGUCCACCUAGACAGGCCUUAACCAUUCAGCUUAGGCUCCCCAGUGUUACUGCGACACAGGCAAGAAUAGAGCAAAUCUGAAUCUACAACUGCUUCCAAGUCUCUUAAACUUCUUGCCCACACCAAGGUGUGUCUCUAAGCUGGUCAUAGAACUUGGUAUGGAGCACAAAGCAUGUCAAAGAAGUGGAAUAAAUACUUCUUGUGUAACCUAGGCUGCUAGUGAUAUCCCAGCUAGUUAAAUUAAACCUCUGCAGAAUAGACUUACCUGUCUCCAUGCCUGUUAAAUGCCUGUCCUCUCUGGGUGGUGGUGAUGAAGGGCUUUUUUUCAUCUGUAAAAGGCCUCGAGUACCCUGGGCUCUGCCAGUGCUGGAGUCCAGAGGCUCACCUGCCUUUCUCCGUUCAUGACCCAUCUCCUUCCAGAACCCACGAGGCAUCGGAGGUGAAACGGCUCAGCUGUGCUUGGUUGCCGCUGCCAGUGGAACAGGAGGUGUGACAAGAAAAGGAAGCUGACUGUGUUCAGAUGAAUUAUGUCUGAAUACCAGUGCCAGUGGGAAACACUUGUGCUGUGAGUAGUUGCCGCAUGGCACCAGCUCAGGACCAGCAAAUCUUCCUUGGGCUGUUGUCCAUUUGCUUGUGUAGUCUUAACACAAGCUAGGCUCUGCAGGGUGCGUUCCUUGGGCUGAAACUCCUCCGGAUCAGUCCCAGUACAAACCCUCUCUUGCACUGGUUGUGAUGGAGGACUGAGGCAAUGUACCAGCUCACACGGAAGAUGCUGCUGGUGAAAAGCCUCACUUCUCCUUCCUUCCUCUAGAGGGGAUUGUGUUCCUGUGCAUGGCUGUUGAAGGAACCUGGCUUAAAUGAAGUUUGAAUAGCUGGAUGCAGGCUUAGAAAUGUGUUCCUGCUGGUGUAUCUGCUUAUCCGCAGCCCCCAUCCUCUCCUCUGCCUUUGACUUUCAUGCUGUGUUAAGCCUACCCCAUGCGAAUUCCUCUCCCCCAACCACACACACGUCCUCCUUUGAUUUCACUUGCUACCUUAUGAUUUUGGCUCUGGCUGAGUGCACCAGGCUGGAUGGAGGCAGUUUAAAACUCAAGCUGUAAUAAAUACCAGGUUCUAAGCUGGUAUGCUAACCCCUGUUAUCCUGGCUUUUUUCUGUUAAACCAGUGUAACAGCCCUUUCUUUACAACAAGGAAGCAGCAGACUCGUGGUGUGGAGCUGGGACAGGACAGGACUGUCCUCUCCAUCACUCCUGAUACACGUGUGGCUGAGAAAUAGCCAAUGGUUCUCUCGUGAUAGGAUUACACUUAUCCUGCCAGGAGCCGUUCCUGUGGCUGUGUUCAGUGAAGGCUAAUUGUAACAAAAUUAGCACAUUCCCAUUACAGCAUGAGACUGGAGACUUUCCCACUGCUGAAGCUUGAGGGUUUCUCCUCUGGGAGAAAUGCGGGUCUGAGAUUGGGCACCGCGUGUACUGUGCAGCAUCUGACAUGACCCAGACCCAGGUUGGGGUUUCCAGGCUGUGCUGGAGAGCUGUGAGUGCAGCUCUCCAGUCUGCUCCAUACUGGGAGGCUUUUGUGGAGCUGGAGCAGCAGAGGUGCAUCUCGCAGACCCCUGGAGCAGGGACUGGGAAGUCUCCAUGUCCCCAUCGGAGCGGUCUGCAACUCCUGACUUUGAUCUUAAAAAACACGUUGAAGAGCCUCACCCUUAGUUAGCGUGAAUGGAGGGAAUUGAACUCAUCUUGGCCUGCUUCGAAGUCUCACACCCAAGCACUGGUAUGGGAGCUGAAAGUUAAGGACUAUUGAAAGUUUUUAAUGUUUCUUCUAAUAGCUGUUGAGGAACGGGGAAGUGAAGAUGACGCAGGGUCCGUGUCUUGUUGCAGAAGAGUGUUUCUUUUGUUGUUCUUUGUUUCUUUUUUUUUUUUUUCCCAAUGAAAACUUUUAUUAGUUUGCUAUGAAGGUGAGAAUUUGGUGAUGUUUUCAUUAAAGCUGCAGGUCCUGAAGCAAUGCAGUUGUGGGAAAAUUUCAUUUUUCAGGGUUUUAGUGUUGGUGGGGUUUUUUUGUUUUGGGGUUUUUUUUUUUUUUGCAAGCUAAAGUACUAUUCCUUGUAGUUUUGGAGAACUGUGACUAAGCUGUAAUUGUUUAAAAUUUGAAGGGAAACAAAGAUGCCCCUAUUUGCUAUUUUGAGGCCAGCCAGAUUAUUUUGACUUACAUUUGACUGCUUGGGGUUAGCAGUUCUUCUUUUCUGUGGAAAGAAGCAAUAUAUAUUGCUCUUCCAUCCAAAUUUAUUUUCUGGAACAAAACGAAGGACACUCAAUGACAUGAGAGCUCCAGCUUCGAUUUAUAACUGGCUAAUAAGAAAUUGCUGAAUAAUGUGCUCAUUUUCUGCCACUCGAAAGUAAUAAAUCUUCCCAAACUUCUCGGGCUCUAAGGACGCUGCUGUCCAGUCUCAUUAUCGGCUUCCAACACAGAAACGAAGGAGUCUUCGUGGUGCAACACACUUCCCUGGUGCACAGCAAUCUCAAGGCUGGCUUUAAUGCUACGACACCAUUCCCCUGGGUGCUGAUGAGAGAUCUCCAUGCAAGGCCUGGAUCCUUGCUCUGAUGUGGACCAGGAGCAGAUGCCAGGGAAAGAGGAUAAGAAACGGAAGACAUUUAAUAUCCAAUGAACAAAACAGCAGCAGUUUCUCCCUAGUUGAAGGGAAGAAUACCUGUCCCAGAAAUAAUGCAGAGGGGGAAUGCCUGGUGUCUGGUGCACCUCCACAGUGAGAGGACACAGUCAUGGCAUCGGCCAGAGCAGCAGGCGAAUCCUCUCAACCCAUUACGCUCAUAACAAGGUGACAUUAACAUUACAUCAUUCUGCUUUUAGCUCUGUGCUAUUGUUUCUACCAUCGAAAGCAGCCCUGCGCACACAGUGGGUGCAGGAAAGCAGCUGCCUACAGGUGCCGUUGUUUGGCAAACUCCAAAUUAACCACGAGCUAGGAGAAAGGAUGGAGCCUGCGGUGACUCUGCAGGCUGGAUGGCUCGGGGAAUGAUGGAUGGGAGUCAGACUUCAGCUCUGAGGACGAACACAGUGCCCUGCUGUGUGCGGGCAGGCUGCGGGAGCCGGCUGCCUGUGCUGUGAUGGGGGGAAUGGUGGGACGGGCAGGUUUUGGGGAGCUCUCCCCAUGUCAUGCGUUCACCUUACAAAUGAAAGAUGCUGCAGCGGUGGGCAGGGACAAGCCCUGCCCGCCCCAGGAGCACCUGAAAGGGUCUUUUGCCGAGGCUGGCACGGACACACCGGCAUCAGCGACGUUGGAGCGGGCUCCAGGAGACAUUCUGAGAGCUGCC